Molecule: ribosomal RNA, 508 nt
Filed under: Heteronemertea gen. sp. 8 TCH-2015
Lineage: Eukaryota; Metazoa; Nemertea; Pilidiophora; Heteronemertea
Also listed under: 1 other name
Description: partial 16S ribosomal RNA
Rfam family: Bacterial large subunit ribosomal RNA
Source: RNAcentral
AGCUUGCUGUUUUUUUUAGCAAGUAUUUUCUGCCCGGUGAGUAAGUUAAACGGCCGCGGUACUCUGACCGUGCAAAGGUAGCAUAAUCAUUUGUUCUUUGAUUGGGGACUGGAAUGAAGGGAAGCUUGAGGGCCCAGCUGUCUCUCCUUUAUAUCUGGAAUUUGCUGUUGUUGUGAAGAAGCAGCGGUUUCUAGAAAAGACAAGAAGACCCUAUUAAGCUUUACUUGUUUCUGAGUUGGUGCUUUCUCUUGAGUAGCUGAGUGUCUUGGGGCAAGUUUGGUUGGGGCGACUGAGGAAAAUGCUUAUCUUCCUUUUGUUUUUUUGACUCGUAGGUCGAAAGUAGACCCGAGAUCUUUCGGGUGAUAGAAUUAGUUACUAUAGGGAUAACAGCGUAAUCCCUCCGGAGAGUUCUUAUUGAGGGAGGGGGUUGCGACCUCGAUGUUGACUUGCUGUUUCCUUUUUAGGUGCAGUAGCCAAAAGGGUUGGUCUGUUCGACCAUUAAAACGGC